AGAAAAGUAAUAUGAAGCAACACUAAUAACUAUGCUUACAGUUGCAAAUCUGAGCACAAUGUUCCCAGCUCCAGCUGUGUUGUAACCUUUUUUUUUUUUACCUCAUAUUUUGUUUAGCUGUGGAAUAAUGCAAGAGAAUUGCUUUAAUGUGAGAUGAUUUAUGAGCAAUUGCAUUACAGACGAUUUUUACGGUUGUCAGUCUCCAUGAAUUUAUGAAACUAUAAAGCCAUGUCAAAGAUGCAUUCCAAUUUUACUUUUUUUUGCACUAACCACAAAUUUGAACAGAAAGGUUUAGGGUCCUGAAGGAAAAUCUUAUUGCUCAAAUGUUGCUCAAGAGACAAACAGGAGUUCUCAGUUAAGCAUCAACUGUAUCUAAAACAGCAACAUAUGAAACAAUUAUUGACAUAUUACAAGAUUACAGAUAAAUAAAAAGAUUUAUAUAUUUGAUUUAACAAUAAAAACUUCUGAAAUCUUGCAGACUUUGCUUUUUUGUACACAGUUUGAGACAUUGUUGAGAUCAUGUGUGAUUAUUCUUUUUGACAAAAUUGAAUUUAAUUUAAAUCCCAUUUAUGAUUUGUGUGAUGUGUUGAGCAAAAUUACAUAUUCCAAUAAUUUUACAACAUAAAUUUAAGCCUGUUCCUCACAAAACUAUGCUGGAACUUUCACAGAGAAAUUGCUUGUAAAUUUCACAAAUAAUUACAAAGCAAAUGCAAUUAACACAUUCAAUUAAAACAUGACAUUUUGUAUUAGAAAGACUGAAGUAGUAUUUUCUUGUUAAGUAUUAAUAAACUUAAACUUUGUAAUAUACUCAACUUUGAAUAUUUCAUGUUUCAGAAGAAUAGUAAGCUGGUUUUCUGUUUUGUUUUGAUUUGUUUUGUUUUGUUUUGUUUUUGUUUUUUGGACACUGUGAAACUUUAUAGGUCACAGGUUUAAGAGCCACGUGAACAUUUUUCAAAAAUUCUCAUUUUGUGUUUUUUUUUUUAAACCAUAACAGAAUGCUAUUUUUGAGUAAACUAUUUCUUUCUAUUUCUGACCUACCCUUUGUAACUCUUCUGAUUUUGAACAGAAAUCACUUGUCAUUUGAGUUGUUCACACAUGCUUUUGGAUAUAAGAGACACAAACUGGGCCCCAAAACAUCUCACUCAUGACCUCCACACGUGAUCCUUUGUUUCACUGCUGUUUUUCUGCCUUUGAGUGGCCCUCACUAGCCUCACCGAAGGUUUUUCUGAUGGUCUGUCCUGGGCAUUAAUGACUGCUAAUGAACAAGGGGGGGCAAGGCCAAAGCAAAGUGGUAGGAAAUGAUCUGAGAAAUUACAGUUCCUGUCUCUCAGUGCCUCCAUUACCAGCAUGAACGUGCACCCUCUGCACUCUGUGAACAGGGAAACAACACUGAUCCUCCCCCAUCAAGCCCACUCAUCCUGAACACAUAACAGACCAGACCCUUUCACUCAACCCUUAGUCUAACCUUAUCAUGUGAGCGAGCUGAGAUUAGAGGACUUGGCCCCUCGUUCAAAGCAGAAAAACAACAUUGCCUCACUGGCCACGAGUCAAGGGUGCUAGUUUAAAUUAGAGCGCAGCCUUUCACACUUGACAUUUAGUGUGGCACAGUCUAUCUUCACCUUAUUUCCACCUCGCCCCCUCCUGAAAGUCCACACCCCCUUGAGUCUUAUUAACACACACAGACUCUGCUCAGUUUGAACUGGAUUACUCAUUAGACUGCUUAAAUCAGCAUGACUUCAGUAAUGGUUUUAUGUCCUCUGAGAGCCUCUUUUAGCUUCUCUGGGAUCAAAGCAGAACGGACUGCCUAACAGAGACAAACCAGAAGAGCAGAUCGUAGAAUCUGAAGGAAACUCCCCACUGUUUACCCCUGACGAGCUCAGCCAGUCUUCAACAUCAUCCCUUCAUACCGUUCAUUAUAGCCUCAGCCCACUCCGCUUUCACAGAGACGCUCCAGCAUCCAGCAGUGUGUGUGUGUGUGUGUGUGUGUGUGUGUGUGUGUGUGCUGGAGGAAACUGGCAGUAAUCCUGUAAAAAGUUCCUCAACUAUGAGCCUUGCUGUAAUCGAGUGCGGUCGUUAGAUGAGGGGCUCAUAAAGGAGAACAUGAGCUUUACUCAUCGCUGUUUUUCCUGCCAGUCCCACCCUUUUGUCUGCUGGAUGCCAAGCAUUGCUGCUCUCUGCUACUCUGCGUUUCUCACUCUGAAGGUUAAAGGUAGAAAUUUAAACAAAGCCCUAACCUUAAGUAAUAAACUUUGGUGUGCAACUCAUCCUGCACCAUUUAUGCAACAGAUAUAUGAUACAAUAUCUAUACGCUUGUUGACGAAAAGUGUGCUAUUAGGUUCUAAGUGAUGAAAUGUACAAUUUGUGUCUGGCAUAUGAUAAAACUUGUGAAGAAAUCCAAUUGAAUUAUGUUGAAGAAGAGACCCAAGCCAUAUCUUGAGACCAGCACUUGGACCAGUAAGCAACCAUCAAUUAUUGCCUUAUAAACCACUCAGAACUUCAUAACACCCUGGGAACCAACCAAAACACCUUAAAACCUUCAGAAAGCUGAAAAUCUAGUUGGUUUUACUGUAGUACACUUGUAGUCCAGAGUAUGACGAAAAACUAGCAGGAGCCUGAAGCCUAAUCAUGUGUGUAAUGUGUAACCUGAGCACUUUUGCCUUCACAAACUCGUCUUAUCUGUGCUUUUAUGUAGUCAUUGUGCCGAUCUUAAUCCUGCGCACAAAGAGUAAUAAGAGCUCUGGACAUAGAGUAACAUCAUAUCCUGUUGUGUUAGAAGAAUACACUGACAGAGGAUUUGUUACACGCUCUGCCUCAGAGCUCAGUUCAUCACCUGAAUACAGUGCAGUGGAUCACAAAAGAGUCAGUGUAUGGGGAUUUCACAAAUAUCACAAAGCUUGCUUGCCCGUGCACAGGGCGUCCAUGAGGGUGUUGCCAUAGGAUGGUUGCCAAGGUGUUGCUAUGCAGUUGCUAGAAUGUUCUGGGUGGAUUCUAGUUGCUUGCUUACUGGCCGAGUGAAAAAAAAGAAACAUAAAAACACACCCAAGUGUCUAUGAUAUUCUUUUUUAUAUGGCUAGAUAUGGGGAUUUUUUUUAACCCAUUUUAUCAUCUUAAAAAAUCAGACAGGUUAGAAAAGUAAUAAUGCACCUUUCCUCAAUAAGCCGUAAAAUGUGACGUGUCAUUCUAAUAUGAGUUUUUAGCAUUAAAUAUCACCACAUUUCAAAAGUGGGUCAAUAAAUGGGACAAAAAGUUUAAAAUGCAUGUGCCAGUAUGUUUAUUUUCAAGUAGGUUUUGUAUGGUUUUAAAAACAAAAACCUCUGUGUAAUUUUCUGCAGCAAAAAAUAAAAUAAAUAAAUAUAUAAAAUAAAAAUAAAUAAAUAAAAAACUCAUGUGGUAAUCAUGAAGUAAAAAUAAAAAUAUAUAUUUUUAAAACUUUAUUUAUUAAAUUUAUCUGUUUAUUCAUUGUUUGGUUUUGUCAUUUUAAAAAGGUUUAAAAAAUACAAUGAAUUAUUAAUUCAUAAAUAUCUUUAAGUUUUUGGAGGGAUCAAAAUACUUAAUUAUCUGAAAUUGUAUCUGAGAGUUUCUUGACCUUAACACAGUCACAGGUAUCUUUUAAAUGUUUUUUUUUUCUUUUCUUUUUUUAUGUUUGUGCAUGUUGGUUGGACCUCAGGUUUUCCGAAUAUUUAUAAUAUUUCAAAUAAACUGCUUUAAUCAUAAAAUAUUAUGCCAAACUACAUAAGAUUUUCUUUUCAGUGAUUUUAUUCUAUUUAAUUUUUAUUUUUCUAUAUAAUGAGUUAUAGGUUAAAGGCAGUUCUAUCACCCUGAUGUUUAUUUAUGUUAUGCCCUCCAAAAAUAUCGAAGUGAAUUUUGAUUCAGAAAUUUAAACUUUUUUGAUAACACAAGAGCUGUAUUCAAAUAUAUAUAUAAAUUGCAUUUUGUAUGUAGUCUAUUUUUAAAUAAACUAAUAGUGCCAAUCGGAAAAAAAAUUGUGUGUCAAAAAAAAAUAAAAAAUGUACACAUACACUUCUGGCUUUGCAAGCUCAGAUUUAUGCAUUGUUGCAUUAUGAAAUGAUCCAAUGCAAUUCAUAGUUCAAGGCAUUGUUAAAAUGUGCUCUUUAGCAUUCAUUAGAGUGAAUGUCUAUGGUGUGUAAUUUCAUUUAGGUCAACUACCUUAGUUGGUCUAAGCUAGGUCUAACUGAUUUAGUUAGAGGUAGUUAAGAUAGCUAAAUAAUAUGAACACAUUUGAAGGAAACUCUAUCGCCCCCUUGAGUACUGGAAUGUGUUACCACCACAGUGUUAAAAGGUUCAUUUAAAUAUUAUUUUAAUAGAACAUAAGAGCUACAUGACUUCUUACAUUUAUAUUAGAAGCUAACACAAAACUGGUACUUACCACUCCUUGACAAGUCACAUUAAAAUUCAAAAGCUGAUUUAAUUAAAAAGAAAUCCACAAUGAAUAAGGAAAACCUUGACCUAGUGACUUAAUCAGAUCAGAGAAUGGAGAAUGGGGCGCCUGACGCCUCCGUGUCGUCCUCUAAAUUGGGCUUUAUGAGUUUGUAUUGUGCUGUUUGUGCAUUAAGCUCACCCCACAACAAUUCAAUGAGCGAUUUGUUGCUGUGUCCUAUGGGACACAAUACGUCUCAUUCACCACCGGCUCCCUGUGUGGGAAGUUCUGGCCUCUCUCUCUCUCUCUCUCAUCUAUCUCUCUCUCUCUCUCUCUAUCUAUCUAUCUAUCUAACUGUCCUGAGCGAGUACCAGGCAAAUUCUUCCUUUCUUUCUUUAUACCAGUUGCAUCAAACCUUCAUUGUUAUUUCAGUUACAUUUCUGUACAAGAUCACACAUGCGGAUUUAAUCACCAUUGUUUAGAAAGUCAAAGUUUGAUGAGUAAACUCCAGUGUCAAUGAUUAUGAACAAAGUCAGAUUAUGGUUGUUUGUUUGCCACUGGAAUAAAUCUCAUUCUAAUAAACCAAUAUGCACACUUCAUAUCUCCAAAGUGCAAUGAAACGUGCACUCCUUUAAAUCGAUGACUUCAAACAUCUGGUAUUCCCAUCCUGUCACUGCCACAGACGGAGGGCAGACCAUUGGGUGUCUUCUAGAAAGAGCUGCACCCAACGCCAGACCAUGUAAGGCCAGCCAACGUGCCCAAAAAUAAAUAUCAAAGAUCACUGGGAGAGGGUGGGAGAAAUGGAUGUAGAAGGAGAGAAAGAAACAGAGCUUCGCAGAUGUUUUUAACUUGUCAGGAACGCCACUGCCGCCGCUCGGCCAUGGAUGCGGUCCAUAUGUGCUUCUGGCUGUAUGUGGAGGAUCACAGAGCAUUUCUGUCUGUCUGUGUGCAGCAAAACCCCAGUGUACAGUAGUUAAAGAGACUGCCCCACUCUACCACCACUUUCCUCUUCUGCUUUGAUAGGCCAUGUGGGCCGCCUCCUUCAAAGGAGUUAGUCCGAACCUUCCUGCAAUUGUAACACUUGGCACAUUAAAAUAACAAAGUCCAGAUGUCUGAUUAAUGGGCCCUUUAAUAUAAUCCCAUUUUGUUGCUUUGCAGCCUGAAAUGAAGAUGGAAACAGCAAAAGGUUCAACAAAAUACUGAUGCAAAGGGGUGAUCCUUUUACCAACUUAGUGAUUCUAUUUUUUUUUUUUUUAUAUAUAUUAUUUUUUUUUUUCUGACACGUUGGUGUUAUAUCUUUUACUUGGAUGUUAUCAGUUGCAUUGAGUUAAUACAGCUGGAUAAAACAAAAACCGUGCCUGUCUUCGUUUCAGACUGCAUAGCAACAAAAUGGGAUUAUUUUAAAGGGGGUGGGGGGGUUCUUUACCACUCUAUAUUGUAUCACAGUAGAGCAUUUUUAAAUUAAAGCUAUGUUUCUGUUUCUGCUCUUCUUCAUUCUGUUCUGCUCUUCAUUCUUUGCAGGUGGAGUGAUUGUGUAUCUUUUGAGUAAGAAAUGCUUCAUUUCUGCUGGUUUAUUUAAGCACUGUCUCACUUCCUUAUUGUAUUACACAAGCUAUGUCCCCUCAGUCAGGCUGAGGAAAAAUAGGGGCCAGGUCAGGGUGUUGUUGAAAGCAUUAUCACAGUCUUUUGAGUUCUCAUUCACUGUAUGUGAAUGCAUGACAUACCCUCCUUCCACGUGGGACAAUAAAACGAGUGCCUGAAAUAAACGAGAACUCAUGCGGCCAUCUAGUGUUGAGUAUUGGAAUUACUUCAACCUUUGCAGGAUGUAGCCUACAAAAAAAUCAGUGUUCAUCGAAAACUAUCAAUAUCUCUCAGAAUUAAUGUAAAACGUUUUUAUUCACAGUAUCUAUAAACUUUCUUAGAUUAGAGAGAAUUUAAAUGAAGUUGUCAUAAUUUAACUGUUUGUUUGUUUAUUUAUCCCUCUCCAGAAAGCUAAAAAUGGGUGUUUUUGUGACACAAAUGAUUUGUCACAUUAUAUGAUCAACGCAAUGAUUGUGUAUUAAUGUCUGUAUGUAUUGUGUUUAUAAUGCAUUUUAAAUUAAAAAUAAACCAAAGUGUCUGACUUUUUAGAAGAUUCUAUAUGACGACACUGAACCACCAGCAGCGUUCUAAUUCAAAACAGAUCAAGAUCGCACGGUAUAGGAUUUCUCCUACUAUUACAGUUUUUGAACUAUUGUUCCAUCGUUUUUAAGUUGAGUGUUUCUAUUUCUCGCUAAAUCUCCACAUAACAACUGGAUAACAACAACUGGAUUUGAAGAUGAACCUCAACAGGAACCAAAGCAGACAAAUUUGAAGUUAAGCUAUUCAGAUCUGUGUUUUGAAUCUUUGAUAUUUGACUGUGACUGUGAAAGAUUGACAAAACACUUGUUUUAGUGCAGUUCACUUGAAUAAGUAGUGGGUAAAAUUAUGAUAAAUAUAAAGUUUUAAUAAUAAAAAAAGCAGUGCUUUAUCGAUUGUUACAUUGUCAUACAGUAUGAACAUAUGAUAUUCUAACAGAAAACUCAAAAGCUCCAGAGGCAGAUCCUGUAUUGUCAUUCCAGAUUAAAAUACAGGUAAGUACCGUUUAUCAGGCAUCUCUACUGUACUGUACAAAAUGUGGUUACAAAAAAUAGCUUUGAAAAAUAAAAGCUAAAAACACAGGUGAGUGAUAUUUUAAAGCAUUUCUAUUAUCUUUUUUUUUUUCAAUCUAUAGUUUGAUCUGAUACUGUUUAUCAUUUUUCUUUCAAUAGAAAGAAUAGUGAAGUUCACUGCCUGAAUGUUGAAAUCUGAGGAGACAAAUAGACUGUCCGUUGAGGUAAAAUCUAAAGUCUGGUAAAUGCCAGAUUAAGAAAAACACAGGUGAGUUAUAUUAUUAAAGAAUUUCUGCUCUCUAUUGUACAAGCUGUUUUCAGGGUUCUCCUCUGGCAGUUCUGUCUGUGUUGUCUUUGUUCAGUGUGUUCUUGUUAGUGUUGUGUCUGACCACAUGGCUCUGUCUCUGUUUGUGUUUGCCAUGUGCUCCUCUUGUCCUGCCUCCUUGUUUCCCUUACCACGUCCCCUUGUUUAGUCCUUGUUGAGUGCUCUUUUAUCUGAGUGUUGUCAUAUGUUCUUCACGUCUCAGAUCCCUUUAUAUUGUGCUCCUUUUGCCUUUUGUGUUGCCAGUUCAUCUAACUAAAUACUGUGCAACUGUGUUCUUCCUUGUUGCAAUAGUCUGUAGUGUAUUGUUAAGCUAGUUCUACCUGUUUAUUCUAAUGUUGUUUUGUUCCUAUGUAUCCUUGCUCUAGUUAAGUAUCCCUUAGUGUUAUCUGCUUUAUCUUUAGUAUUUAGUUUCCCUUUUUCUUUCCUUAGUCAUUUGCCUUUAGACUUUCCCUUUUAACUAGUUCCUUUAGCUUUUCCCUGGCUUUAGUUUUAUGUUUUAAUUUAUGUUUUUUUAGUUAUUGUUUGGUUUUGGUUACCGCCUUCUGUCUUGUUGUGUCUUGUCCUGUGCGGUGGUGUGUCUUGUUUGUCUUUAGUCCUGUCCUGUGCUGCAGGCUGAGCUCCCGGGCUGCUCCCUGAAUCUGUAGCAGCAAGACCUGUGCCUGUGAGACCACGAGUGUGGAGUGGCUUGUGCUUCGAGUUCCUGUCAGGCCAUCGCUGCUAACCUCCGGCCUCCCUCUGCACUGCCACUACUGUUAUCCAGGGCUGGACUCAGCGGCUUCUCUCUCAGCAUAUCUGUCUUCGAGCCUCUUCCCAUCUUAUUGUUUGGACUGUAUUCACACCCUCCACACCUUCUCUUGUCGUGUCUUGUCAGCAGUAUUGUCAGUAAACCCGUGAUUACUCAUUCUGCAUUUAAAUCCUCUCUCACAGAAUCCCUGACACCUGUAGUUGGUAUUUAAAUCUUUCUGUCAUUCAUUACAAUAGGGACGUUCAGUCUGUGCAUUGAGGUAAAAUAAAACUCUGGUUAGAGUCAGAAUAAAAAUAAAAAAAGCACAGGGAUGGCAACUGCUUGGAUGUUGUGAGAGGAAAUUGGCUUCAGACGAUGGUAGUCUUGAAGUGUGAGGAACUACCCGAUCACCCUAACCAUCCAUUGUAUUAUCCACCAGCAAACCUUCUCUUUGAAAUGCUGUAAAUCAACCCUGAUCCUUCCAAAUCGUUUGACUGUAACAGGAAUGACUGGGAGAAGUCUGGGUCAAGCAGGAUGCAGCACCUUUCUCACGGUUAUGCUCCACUAAACCUCAUCGGACUAUCCUUUCUUGUCAGAUCUGUGAGAGGACAGGCUAAAAAUUGGCAUCCAGCCAACCUGAGGAAUACUCAUAAGUUUUGUUGUGCACCCUGGUUUGUUUGAUACCAGAAUUUGGUUCCGCUGAAUGAUGUGAACGCUGUUUUCUGAACUCAGGUGCGCAUAUGCAAAAUGUUCCUUGUUCCUGGAAUAGUCUACAUUAUGUUUUUUUCAGACCAACUGAAUCAUCAGUCCGAUUAAUAAUUUGAUUAUUAGGUUGAAUUUUAAAUGUAGACAGUGACAGGCCAAAUGCAUGAAGCUGGAAUUGAAAUGCCUUAUCUUUGAAGACGAAUUUCAGUGACAGUAUCUGUCUUUCAGAUUCUCUGUUACAAACCUCUAAAAGAAAUCACACUGUUUAUAGUUGUUUAUACAGUAAAAAAAAAAGCCAGUGAACAGAAUUUUUACAGAAUGUUUGUAUUAUGUAAUCACAUUUCUCUGUCACCUUAUUUCUAAAUGUGGUGUCAUGUUUUUCACCAUACAAGUUAAAUUUUUAGGUGACACUUUUGUACCAAUCAAAACAGGCCUGUAAAACUGUGCUGAAGGUUUCCGCUGGUAUUUUUUUAACAUUGAAGUCAUCAUCUGAAAGGUUUCCAUAGUUCUGUGGCAAGCCUGAUUAUUGUAUAAUUGUCACACACAUGGACAGUUUUGUUCCUGUUCCGCAUGUCAAUUUGGAUUCCCUUUGUUUUUUUGUUAUUAAAAGUCUGUUUUUGAGCAA
This is a long non-coding RNA of Cyprinus carpio carpio, 9387 nucleotides long. The record is from Ensembl. NCBI's taxonomy places the organism in Eukaryota, Metazoa, Chordata, Actinopteri, Cypriniformes, Cyprinidae.